Molecule: ribosomal RNA, 440 nt
Filed under: uncultured bacterium
Lineage: Bacteria
Description: partial 16S ribosomal RNA
Rfam family: Bacterial small subunit ribosomal RNA
Source: RNAcentral
CCUACGGGUGGCAGCAGUGGGGAAUAUUGCACAAUGGGGGAAACCCUGAUGCAGCGACGCCGCGUGAGUGAAGAAGUAAUUCGUUACGUAAAGCUCUAUCGGCAGGGAAGAAAAUGACGGUACCUGAGUAAGAAGCCCCGGCUAACUACGUGCCAGCAGCCGCGGUAAUACGUAGGGGGCAAGCGUUAUCCGGAUUUACUGGGUGUAAAGGGGGCGUAGACGGUGCGCCAAGUCUGGAGUGAAAGGCCGCGGCUUAACUCCGGAACUGCUUUGGAAACUGGCGAACUAGAGUACGGGAGGGGCAGGCGGAAUUCCUAGUGUAGCGGUGAAAUGCGUAGAUAUUAGGAGGAACACCGGUGGCGAAGGCGGCCUACUGGACUGUAACUGACGUUGAGGCCCGAAAGCGUGGGGAGCAAACAGGAUUAGAUACCCUAGUAGUC